UACGUAGGGGGCAAGCGUUGUCCGGAAUUAUUGGGCGUAAAGCGCGUGUAGGCGGCUCUGCAAGUCCGCUGUGAAAGUCCAGGGCUCAACCCUGGAAUGCCGGUGGAUACUGCAGGGCUAGAGUUCGGAAGAGGCGAGUGGAAUUCCUGGUGUAGCGGUGAAAUGCGCAGAUAUCAGGAGGAACACCAAUGGCGAAGGCAGCUCGCUGGGACGACACUGACGCUGAGACGCGAAAGCGUGGGGAGCAAACAGG
Molecule: ribosomal RNA, 253 nt
Filed under: uncultured bacterium
Lineage: Bacteria
Description: partial 16S ribosomal RNA
Rfam family: Bacterial small subunit ribosomal RNA
Source: RNAcentral